UUCAAAAGGUUUUUUUAUCACAUUCCACUAUGUUUGCAAUGGAAACAAAUAUUCCUUCAUGCUUGCUUCCAUGCUUCAAGUCUUCUCUUCUUGCUUCCAUGCUUCAAGUCUUCUCUUUCUAAUUUGUUGAUGAGCUUGUUAAAUUUGAUACUCUUUCUUCCUUGCUUCAAGUGCUUUCUCCCUUACUUUGAAAAAUUGAUUGAUGGUUCGAUACAAAUAAGUGAGGAGGAGCAUGUAUAGCACUGGCAUAUGAAUUCCUAAAAUAACAAAUUUCAUUUAAUUGCACUUUAUAAUCAUUGAUUUCAACUUGUAGGCUUUAACUGGUAGCCCGUAUUUCAUCUAAUUGUACCUUGUAAUCAUUGAUGUCAUCUUGUAACCUUACAAUGUCAGUUAUGGAUUUAAAUUGCGGCCAUGUUUGUGGUCACGGUUGCAGGUAAUAGAAACAGGCUUGUAACAGCUGUAACAGUAACGGUAACAGCCUAUCAU
RNAcentral lists this unclassified non-coding RNA (486 nucleotides) under Hevea brasiliensis (rubber tree). Lineage: Eukaryota; Viridiplantae; Streptophyta; Magnoliopsida; Malpighiales; Euphorbiaceae. The record is from RNAcentral.